Callithrix jacchus (white-tufted-ear marmoset) is the source of this 7810-nucleotide non-coding RNA. The record is from RefSeq and is a predicted model, not a curated record. Lineage: Eukaryota; Metazoa; Chordata; Mammalia; Primates; Cebidae.
AGCAGUGGGAUUGCUGGAUCAUAUAGUAGUUAUAUAUUUAGUGUUUUGAGGAACCUCCAUACUGUUCUCCAUAGUAGCUGUACUAAUUUACAUUCCUGGAAACAGUAUAUGAGAGUUCCCUUUUGUCCACAUCCUCGCCGGCAUUUGUCAUUCCCUGUCUUUUGGAUAUGAUCCUUUAACUGGGGUGAGAUGAUAUCUCAUUGUAGUUUUGAUUUGCAUUUCUCUGAUCAGUGAUGCUGAGCACCUUUUCAUAUACCCGUUUGCUAUUUGUAUGUCUUCUUUAGAGAAAUGUCUACUCAAAUCUUUGGCCCACUUUUUAAUUGAAUUAUUAGCUUUUUCUCCCAUUGAAUUAUUUGAGCUCCUUAUAUAUUCUUUUAUUAAUCCCUUGUCAAUUAUUUUUCUUACAUUUAUAAAAAUGUCUGAGCUCCACUGACAGGAAAGGGGCCAGUUGAAACCUCUUUCCUAAUGGAAUGAAUACACUUUCUUCUCUGUCUCUUGUUCUUUUUCAUUCAUACUUAAGCUACUAAAAAAGGAGAGGAAUUUCAAAUACAAGUGCUUUUAUUGCCCAAUACUUCUAGUCUCCCACGGGCCAAGCCAUGGGCCAUUAGCAAAAGCAUUAUAGUUGGUUUCCACAGAGAAGCAUAAGGUGAUUUCCAUGGUAACCAUGACCAAAAUGGAAAUGGCAGAUCAUAUUGCAUCUGGGAGCUAAUUGUUGGCUAUAGAGGACCACGGAUACAAUGGUCUUUGUGGGACCCAUGGUCUCAGAAUGGUGACGCUGGAUGCCAGCCAAAGUUUCUAAGUGAAUGAGCUUGAACAAACUUAAUUUGUUAAGCUGUACAGAUGAGAAUCACAAUUGGAUAAAUCCAGAUUUGAGACUUGGCCCGUAUUUUGUCUAGGAACUAGGCCAGGUUUGGUGUUGUAGAUGAUAUGAAGGCUUCUUCGAUGGCUAAGGAAUAAAGCUCUACCUGGGAGUACCUAACCUGGGCAGGCUAGAUGCUGUCUACUGCUGUCUGUUCUGUAAGUCACAUAGUGCCCUCUUGGGUUCUAUUUCAGAACAGAGCCUACAUUAUGACCUCCAUGUGGCCCUCUUGUCUUGCUGUAGGAACAGCUAAGUUUCAGGCAUGACUUGAAGUGAAGGUCACGCCAAGGGGUGAUGGUCUUGUGGAUGCUGCCAUGGGCCUAGUUCGUCUCAGAAAGUCUCCAUUUCUUCCAGGAUCUCCCCAGGACUGAACAAAAAACCAAUCAAUGCCUGGCAUAGCAGGGAGCUGCCAAGACCCUGCUGCAGCAUUACAGCCAGUAUUGGUUCCAGCUGAUCAGCAUGUUUGCCAUACUAGUUCGAAAUGGAAUAUGGAGCAGAGUGCCAAUGUAUGUCCAUAUACAUUCUCUACCUAGACAAGAAAGGAUUGCUCUGUUCCCAGAAUUCUCGCCUUGAUUCAAAGAACUAACAUUUCUGGGAGAAGCUAGCUGAGGCUGGCAUAGAUUAUUCUAAAGAGGUAAUACCAUCCCAAGUGUGCACGCAAUGGAAUUAGUCCAUUAACAGCAUCCUGCCCUCAUGCAGGAAGCAUCAUCAACCAUCAACUUAGCAACCUCCCCUCCCUGCAUUGUUAUGGAAAGGGUAUGGUUUCUGGGACAGUCCAGUUAUAUGUGGAUUCAUUCUUACAACAAUUUGCUUCAAUAAUCUAAAAACUGAAAAAGAUGACUUUUCUGUUAAUUCAUGCCUUUGGAGGAGAACAUGCUAUUGACUUUAUGUUUUUGAGCAUUACUUGCUUGGUAGGAUGGGGCAUGAGUUUGUUCUGUAAUAAUGCUUUUUAAAUUAGUCCUCCUUCGGCAUUCUUUAAGUCCCUGGUCCUCAUAAAAAUGUAGGCUCUAAUACUUUACCACUGUGAAGACCGCUUACCUGUUUCUCUUCCUCCAAAAGCUGCCUUCUCCAAUCUAUCCUGAAGAUUAUGAUAUCAUAUUUUCCCUAAAACAUUAUGUUUACAAUGUCAAUAUCCUUUGUUAGCUAUCUUUGGCUCCCCAUUUCCUAAGUGAAAUUAUCUAGACUUCAGUGUUUUUCAGUGUUUUCCAGGAUAUGACCAAACAUCUUCCCAACUCAAUCUUUCCCUUCGUAGGAGCGCAGUUUUCUAGUCGAAUUGAUCUGCCAGCUGUCUGUUAUUCAGGCUUAUUAACUCACCUUUAUUUCAUUUUUAUCCUCCCUUUUCAUGGAAUAGCAACCCAUUUUCUUCUGCCUAUCUUCUACUUUCUGAAUCCAAUCUGUACCAAUAAAGUUCUAUGGUAUUGACUAUAAAUGCCAUGGAAUUUCACUUGAGGUGCAUGUGGUCUAGUCAUUCAAGCAACAUUUGUUGUGCUUAUACUGUGUCUUACCCACAGUUUUAGGUACGGUUAACAACAAUAAUCACAGUUAAAACAUGUGCUACACAUUCUUCUGAGUGUUUUUAUAAUAACUGCUCAUUUAAUCCACACUUUAACUCAAAUAAUAUUAAUGUCAAUGUGGACCAGGUACAGACUACUCUCUCAAGACUCUGUCUUUUGGGGGAAGAUAGAAAGUGAACGGUAAUCAUGAUAUAGUUUGGUAACAGAGUUACCCACAAGGUACUAUGAGAAUACAUACAGUAUUAACUUUAUAUUACCGUGUGACAAAUUACCACAAAUUUAGUGGCUUAAAACAACACAAAUUUAUUAUCUCAUAGUUUCUAUAGGUCUGAAGUCUGGGCAUGGCAUCUCCAUAUUUUCUGCUCAUGGUCUCACAGGGCUGAAAUCAACAUGCCAGCCAGACUGCAUCUCAUCUGGGGCUUGAGAUUGUCUUCCAAAGCUCACUGGUUGCUGGAAGAAUUUAUUUCCUUGAGGUUGCAGUAGAAUUGAGGGCUACGUUUUCUUGCUGGCUGUGGGCGUGAUUUUCUUUCAUUCCUGGAGGCCUGUGUAAGGUCCUUUCCACGUGUCUCCACGCAUCGUCAAUCCAGCAAUAGCCCAUCAAACCUCCUCCAUGCUUCAAGUUUUUUACUUUCUCUUCUGCAGCCAGGUAGAGAAAACUUUGCUUUUAAAGGGUUCAUGUGAUUAGACCAGGCCCACGUAUAUAGUUUCUCUUCUGUUAACUCAAAGUCAACUGAUGAAUAACUGUAAUCACAUUGAUGAUAUCCCUUUUGCCACAUAAUAUAAUCAUGGGAGUGGUGUCCCAUCAUAUGGGGAGGGAAAUAUACAUGGGAGAGGGUCAUUGAAGGUCAUCUUAGAAUUCUGCCUGGGAACACAUAGAAUGACUACUUUACCUAAUUUUGGGAUUGAAAUAAAAAUGGGUAGGGCAGGAGGAAAACAUUUCAAAAAAGUGAUCUCCAAACAGAGAACUAAAUGGUUUAUGGAAAUUAGCCAGGUAAAGAAGGAAAUAAAUGAAAUGGGAAGGAGAGGGCUUCAGUUAAAUGUGGGAGGGAUAAUAUUUAAUGUAAACCACUGUUCUUUUUCUUCCUGAUCCUUCUUUGUCUUCUCUUAAGUAUUUUGUGUGAAUUUUUAUUUCUGAUAUUUCUCUCUGUACUGUAACCUGUCCCUUUGUUUUAGGUGGCAGCUAGGGAAGAGAUAUGGCAAUAUUCAGCUUUCGUGUCCAUAGAAGAAUGUUUAAACUCGUGGUGGAGUCAGUAGAUAAAAGCAAUUUUUUUUCAAUGUCAAAAGUCAAAACCCCAAAGGACUCAGACUUAGAAAUUGGGAUUGCAAGACUAAGAAUCUGUCAGUCAGUUUUUGCAAAUGAGAAGAGAUGCAUUCUUCUUUUUUUCUUAUUUAUUUUUAUUUUUUAUUGCAUUUUAGGUUUUGGGGUACAUGUGCAGAACAUGCAAGACAUUUGUAUAGGUACACACAUGGCAGUGUGUUUUGCUUCCUUUCUCCCCUUCACCCACAUUUGUCAUUUUUCCCCAGGCUAUUCCUCCCGAGCUCCCCCCUCCCCACUGGCCCUCCCCCUUUCCCCCCAUAGACCCCAGUGUUUAGUACUCCCCUCUCUGUGUCCAUGUGUUCUCAUUUUUCAUCACCCGCCUAUGAGUGAGAAUAUGCGGGAUUUCAUUUUCUGUUCUUGUGUCAGUUUGCUGAGAAUGAUGUUCUCCAGAUUCAUCCAUGUCCCUACAAACGACACGAACUCAUCAUUUCUGAUUGCUGCAUAAUAUUCCAUGGUGUAUAUGUGCCACAUUUUCCCAAUCCAGUCUAUCAUCAAUGGGCAUUUGGGUUGAUUCCAGGUCUUUGCUAUUGUAAACAGUGCUGCAAUGAACAUUCGUGUGCAUGUGUCCUUAUAGUAGAACGAUUUAUAGUCUUUUGGAUAUAUACCCAGUAAUGGGAUUGCUGGGUCAAAUGGAAUUUCUAUUUCUAAGGCCUUGAGGAAUCGCCAUACUGUCUUCCACAAUGGUUGAACUAAUUUACACUCCCACCAACAGUGUAAUAGUGUUCCUAUUUCUCCACAUCCUCUCCAGCAUCUGUUGUCUUCAGAUUUUUUAAUGAUCGCCAUUCUAACUGGCAUUAGAAGACAUUAACGAGGAGAUGACUGUGUGGCGUGUCUAGACAGAGGCCUGAAAUAGCCUCAUUGAGUUUUCUGCCACCCUAGAGAGGUAUUUUCCAGCAUUCCUGACCAGGCUUAAAGACAAAAUGCAGCAGAAGAUGCUGGGUAAGUCUGUAGAAACAGACUACGUGGGACCAAAGCCUCAAAGCAGAUGUAGGUGGGGAAGUUGCUGAUGAGUGGUCAGUGGGGGUGUGGCAGUCCAUUUCUGCAUUGCUAUGAAGAAGCACCUGAGCCUGGGUCAUUCCUAAAGAAAAGACAUUAAAUUGGCUCACAGUUCUGCAGGCUGUACAGGAUGUAUGAUGUUGCUAUCUGCUCAGCUUCUGGUGAGGGCCUCAGGGCGCUUUUGCUCAUGGCAGAAGGUUAAGCCGGAGCAGGCACAUCACAUGGCGAGAGUGGGACCAAGUUCGAGAGAAGAGAAAGAGUCCCAGACUCUUUUCAACAACCCGAUCUCACGCAAACUAACUGAGCAAGAACUCAUCUAUCACCCAAAUGAUGGUGCUAAGCUAUUCAUGAGGGGUCUGUCCCCACGACCCUGUCACCACCUGCCAGGUCCCACUCCAUCACUAGGAAUCACAUUUCAACGUGACAUUUGGAGGGGACAAAUAACCGAAACAUCAGGAGGAUGCCCAUCUCAGCAGGUGUCAGCAGGGAGAGUGGACAGUGCCAAGGUCAUACCCAAACCUAAAUAUUCUCUAAGCUUCCCUGGGAUUUAGAUGUAAUCAUUGGAAGAAGGGGAAACUAAAAAUGCAGAACUGAGAGAGAGAACUUUGAUUGGAACCAGAAAAACCUAACGUGACUAAGUUCCUACCUCUAAAUGGGGUCUCGAGCUAGAAAUCACAUUCAAUUAUAAAAAAAAAAAAAAAAGAAAGUUACAUUUCUAGACAUCUGAGUUUGUGUCCUGGGAAAUUUGUAUCUACUGUGUAAUUUAGGAAAUGUGAAAUUUUUGUGACUAAGGAGCCUGGAGAGGGAGGGACUUGAGCUGGAUUUUAUAGGGUUUGCAGCAUGCACAGGAACAAUCCAAUGUGAGUGGGGGGAUGCAUGUAGAACAUACACAAAGCGAGAGAAGUGGGAAUGGGGGCAAAGUUGGGAUGAAGCCUAAUUGUAAAUUCAUGCACAGGAUUCAUUCGGGAGAACACAUGGGUGGACAUGGAGGGUGAAGCCAGGAUAUGGAGAGCCUUGUGGGGCCAGGAAGAAGAGGUGCUGCAUAGUUUUGUAAGAUUUUAAGCUUAAUAGGGAGGAAAAAGUGAUACGACAUUUUUUGAGUGUUUUCUGAAAGCCAGGUACUUUGCAAAUAAUUUAUUUAUAAUAAUCUUCAUGGUAUUUAUAAUCCCCAUUUUACAGAUGAAUACACUGAAGUUCAGAGAUGUUAAAUUAUUUAUGUGGAUUCAAAUAGCUGGUGAUUGGCAGAGCAUGAUUUAAACUCUUGUUCUUGGCUCCAAAACCUAGGUAUUUCCCACCGUAUACUAGGCUCCCACUGGUAGAUUUCUGAACAGGAGAGAGGCUUGAAAAAUCAGUACUUUGAAAGUUUGGCCUGGCACAGUUGCGAAUGAUGGACUUGGAGAGCGAAGGCCCUAGAGAGCAGAAACGGGAACCUUAAUUUGGGGAGCAAGGGAUACAGGCUGGACUUGGGAAAUGCUAAUGGAAAAGAGAAAAAGGACAUAUCCAAAAAAUGUUUUGAAGAAAGAACCUGUAUGAGAUAGUUGGUUUCUUUUUUUUUUUUUUUUUUGUCUAAAUGAUUUUUCUCCCUAGUUUCCAGUGGUUUCACCUACAUUAUCUAUAAACCUGCAGCCGUUAAAAAAAUCAUAAAACAUUAAAAAGGAGUAAUAGCCCAAGGCUUUUCACUUUGGCAGGUUUAUCCAAGGACAUCUAGUUCUCAUAAUUAGUUUCCAGGUGUGAGCUCUACCUACAGUGUUUCAAAUAAAUAGCUUAACUUUCUCCACGUUCUACGAUAGGAAAAUUCAUUGAGCCAGUGUUGCAGCUUUCCACACAUCCAGAGCUACACAGACUGUUUUUCUGUAACACGUGGGAAAAGAACAAUGAAGGCACAGUCCUCUGAGAUGUCUGAAAUUUAUGCCCACGUUUUCCUGGAAUUUCUGGUAAUGAGGCAUCUGCCACAAGCAGCUGGUCCCUAUUUCUAAGGUAGGUCUGCAUAACAGAGGCUCCGAUGUUUUGUGAGAGGAGUUAAUUUUCUUUUCACAAGGCCUUGCUAUCAACUGCAGUUACAUGAACUAAGAUAAAAGUCUAGGUUCUUGAUAAAGUUCAGGUACAUUGGUUGCAAGCAAUAAAAACAGAUGCAGGCUAGUUUAAGCCAAAAAAAAAAAAAAAAAAGUGAAAAAUUCCAGGAUAUUUCAUGGGACUGAAAGGAAGCUAAAAAGUCAGGGACAUUGGGCAGCUUUGGAGAUCUCAGCAGCAGGACUUGGUGGACUUUUGAAGAUUCCUGAAAUUGACACAGUCCAGCUACUCCAGUUCAAAUUCCCAGGGAAUGAUUUGGUUGGCCCAGUCAGAUGUGGGCCUCCCCCUGUGCAUGACAGGUCAUUUCCAGAAUAUGAACUCAGUCCCAGUUAGGCAGGAAUCCCAUGACAUGUCUAUAGUAAUGGCCUUGGAGUAGGAUAGAUCUGGGUUAAAUCCCAGCUGUUGUCUGUUCAUUCAUAAAUACUUAUUGGGGAUCUCUCAUGUUCUAGACAUAUUUUAUACUCAUAGGUGUUUAAUAAAUGUGGGUUUCCCCUUCCUGGAGAAAGAGACGAGCAUAGACUAUAGAGACAUUUUCUGGUGUAUGUGGGUUCUGAUAGUCAAGUUCAUCAAUGAAGAAAGGAUUUAUAAACAUCCGUCCUGACCGUUUCUGUUAAGAAUUAAGGCAAGCUCCAGAGGACCCUUGAUGGAAAAGGGUUAUUUAUAGCAGUAAGUGGCUAGGUAAAUUACUGGAUAAGACUUCAAGAUUGAGUUUAUAAAUGUGAAUUUGUAUAAUUUUUCAGGAGAGUAAAUAGUAAUACAUACCAAAGCCUAAAAAUGUAUAUUUUUUGGCCCAGAAAUCUUAUUUCUAGGCAUUUAUCCAAUGGAAAUAAUCUGGCAAGAGUAGAAAUAAAAUGUUCAACAUGGUAGGCUUAAAAUUGGAAAAUACUAUAAAUGUCCAACAAAACAAGAUUGUUUGCAUUUUAUCAUAAAAUAUGUGUAAUGGACAACCUACAUUUUAUUAAUACCAUGUAAAAGGCUAUUAAAAUGAAAGGUGCUAAGCAAUGUGAAGAGCAUGUAAAGCUGUAUAAUUCUCAUUUUUUUUUUUGGUGAAAA